UCCCAAUGGAAGUUUUUUUCUUACCCAUUAUUUUUCUUAUCAUGACUAUUAAAGCCUGAUUAGCCACACGUUGCGUUUUUCCCAUACAACCGAAAUCUUCAAACCCAGUAACAUUAUCAUGAAUUGAAUUGUAAGUCAAAAAUGGUGUAAUUGAAAUUUCAUCAAUAAUUAUUGUAUAAUAUUGAAGACUUUUAAUCCGUUUAUUUCUUAAACAUCCUACCCGGUAAUGUUGCAAUAACAUUGUUGUUAAUGCCAAGUACUAUAUGCAAAGAAGAAAUGUAUUUCUGAAGUGUUCUUACUGUUGGCAAAUGGAAUAAUUUUUGUAGGGUAUUAUAACAACUUCUGGACUUGCAUAAGAGAUUAUAAGACAAAACUUUUUCUUCAACGGUUAUGCCACGCUUGCUCGAAUGUCGCUUGCCCGAUCCCCGGUUGCUGGAGUCUUGCUUGCCUGAUUCCCACUUGCCCGAGUCCCAUUUGCCUGAUGCCCAUUUGCUCGAUUCCCAGUUUCCCGAACCCGUUUGCCCGAUUCCCACUUGCUCAAGUGCUGUUGUCUGGUUCCCAAUUGCUCAGGUCUCAUUUUCCCUAGUUCCUGUCUGCCCGAAGCUGUCUUUUCCUUGAGUCCCAUUUGCCCGAGUGUUGGG
This 641-nucleotide long non-coding RNA is filed under the name Androctonus crassicauda. Lineage: Eukaryota; Metazoa; Arthropoda; Arachnida; Scorpiones; Buthidae. The record is from RNAcentral.